GUUUGUUACGAUUUUUAUAUGAAGUAUAAUUGUAUUUAUUUUUCACAACGUUUGAAAAUUCAAAUUUGAUGUUUAGGAUUCAUUCCCCUCAAAAAUUUUAAUUUCAAGUUCAAGGCAAAACCUUGACACUUGUUUACUUACAUAGUAAAGCUUUUGCUAUGAAAGAAAAAAAUCUUACACUCUUACUAUAAUUUGAUCUUUGUGAAGAGCGAAAUACCUUGCAUAUAAAUUCUCUUUAGUAUGUAUUCGCAAUUUUUUUUUAUUGUAGUUUUCUUUUAACUAGACAUAAAGAGAGUUUAAGCUGGUUACUGUGGCUGCAUUCCUUUUUUUUAAAUAGGAGAGUAAGCUUUAAGUGUGUGGAGUUUUUUCUUGUUUUUUUUUUUGUAGAAGUAAAUAUGUUUACGGUCAGAGACGGUCAUAUGGAAUUUUGAAAACCAUAAUUUACUAUAAUUGAAUAAAUUUUAUCGUCUGGCAGAAUAAUAAUAAUUUGUGUACAGAUCCACUUGAUCACCUACAAAUUAGUCGUUCGCUUUUCUAUUAGAGAUUAUAUUAGAAACCUAUCUAAUAUUAGACGCAUUUACUAUAGCAUAUAUUUUUUUUUAAAUUACAUCAUUAAGAAAAUUGAAUGACUAGUUGAAUUUCCGUCCCUGUUUUAGUUAUUUUGUCUUAUAAAUCAAGUAUUGUUUCGAUUCCAGUUCGUCCCUUUUCAACUGAAGGAAUUUUUUUUUCUUAAUUCUAACGGGACAUUGUUUUUAAAUAGGAAAGAAUUUUAGUUAUUAGCUUCUGGUUUUUGUAAAACCAAAUCAUUAUCAAAGUGGAAUUUGUAGAGACAACUACUGCAGUGGGAAAAAGUGUUAAGUGUUAAAAAAGUAUUUUUUUUUAAGUUAAUUGUGUUUAAAUUUUAUUAGAACUUUUCGCACAAUUGUAAGGAAAUUGUUAUUAGUUGCCAAAUUAUUUUUGAAAAUUGCUGGAAAUCAAAGGACGUUACGGAAAUACAAGGGUGUCUGCAAUAUAGCGAUCUUGCACCCACGUGUCCCAAUAAUCACAAGUUAUAACCCGGAUUAGCCUCAAGUACGUCUUUAAUACCGUCUUUAUUUUUGACCUGGAUUAACCACAACAACCCGUAUUACGUAAUUUACGUGAACCAGCGUGUUCUAACCCGUAAUGAGGGACAAUUAUAAAACGUGGGAAUAACAUAACUUCAAGGUCCCCACGUGCUGCUAUGAAAACGUAAAGAGCAGGUAUUACAUAAUUGUUUCCCUAUUCGGAAUUUACCAUCAUAAGACAACUUACAUCAUCUAAACGACCCACGUGUUUUCCAAACGUGAUAAAAUUUGUUUUUAAGGCAAGACAUUCUUCUUCAAUAUAACGCUAUUUAGGUAGCCCACGUGUUUUUGUUCGGAAAAUCACAGUAGCUUAUUCAGACACUUCAAACCUAUGUACAUAAUAUAAAGAAGUCCACGUGGUUCCUUAGGCUAUAUAAAUUGGAAGAUUACAUAACUUUAAAUCGGAUAACUAAUCGUCAAUAUUAAAGUAAAUAGCGUAUCAGAUCUUCUCUACCAAAUUAUUCAAUUUUCUCAAAAUUUAAUAUUUGGCUUCAAAUACUCCAUUUCUUCUUCAAAAUUAAUAAAAGUUGUUUUUGCAAGUACAUGCAUUAGAGUUUAAAUAUACAUACCAAAAGGAAAAAUUCAUUCAUAACGUUUUAAAAUUAA
This is a long non-coding RNA of Lucilia cuprina (Australian sheep blowfly), 1712 nucleotides long. RefSeq lists it as uncharacterized. The transcript has 3 exons. Lineage: Eukaryota; Metazoa; Arthropoda; Insecta; Diptera; Calliphoridae. The record is from RefSeq and is a predicted model, not a curated record.